GGUGUUCUUUUCAACAUGUGAUGCUGUAGAUUUUCAUUAUUCAUUGGUGAGUGGAUUUCAGUGGCUCUCUCGUCAGCAAUCAGAUACAGAUGUCAAACAGCUGUUUUUGAAAUGCAACACAUUUCGGUUACAUGGGAAUAUGAAUCACGAAGACAGAAGAACUACAUUCCAUGCUUUUAAAACAGAAAAAUCAGCACUUCUGCUAUCCACUGAUGUUGCUGCUAGGGGCUUGGACUUUCCAAAAGUUAGGUGUAUUAUACAGUAUGAUCCUCCAGGAGAGGCAACUGAAUAUGUGCAUCGGGUAGGAAGAACCGCUCGUAUAGGUGAAAAGGGAGAUUCCUUAUUGUUCCUACAGCCAGUUGAAACUGAUUACUUGCCUGGCUUAGAGAAACACGGGGUGACGCUAACAGAGUAUCCCCUUCAGAAACUUUUGGAUAGCUUUCCGUUGUUUGGUAUCAGGUACCACCCGAAGAAUUUUGUUUCAGUAGACACACAUCCCUGGGUUGUUUCUCUGCAGAAAGCAUUGGAAUCCUUUACUUCAUCAGAGUUAAAGAUGAAGAAAAUAGCACAGAAUGCAUUUUGCUCAUGGGUUCGUGCUUACACUGCCCAUCGUGGUGAACUUAAAGGAAUUUUUAUGGUGAAGAAACUUCACUUGGGGCAUGUGGCAAGAAGUUUUGCAUUGAAGGAGCAGCCGUCAUUGGUUAAUAAAUCCCUCCAAAAACAAACAAAGAAAAGGAUGAGAGACCAGAAACAGACAAACGUAUCAAAAAAGAGAAAAGUCGGAAAAAGAUGAUGUGUAACAUUUGUUAUCAGAUGAGCUUGUCAAAUUGGAUUCAAUGAUAUGUACACAAGCAUUUCUGUCUAGCAUGUCCAACUGUCCUGCGUCUCUACCAAUGGUGCAUGUCCUCUGAUGAGCUCUGAUAUAAUCAGGUUUUGUGGAGGGAUUAAAGGUAGUACUAUUUGCUGACCUUGAGAUUGUGCUAGCAGCUUGCAAACAUAUGCUCCAUCUGGUGAGAAUGUAUCAGUUCUAACUAUAAGCAGGGGGCAUAUUAUUAGCAUUUUGAUUAUGCCACCAAAAGUUUUGUAUACUCUAGGAAUCCCUGUACCCAAAAUAUUUAAUACCUUCUAAAGUACAUUUUAAGCAGUUAUAUGUUCUGUAUUUACUAGGUGUGAGCAUGGUUUGUGUCCCUUUGUUGCCUAAAACCAAAAUGAGACCGAGACAUGACACAACUUUAACUUACCGAGGACUAAGGAGCGUUUGGAGGUCACAGAUUAGAUCAGAAAUGACUCGCUUUUUGGUGGGUUUAGGCUUGGUGGGUGGGCGUUUUGUCUGUAUACCUGUAUUGUAUUUUCAG
This 1355-nucleotide unclassified non-coding RNA is filed under the name Hevea brasiliensis (rubber tree). The record is from RNAcentral. Lineage: Eukaryota; Viridiplantae; Streptophyta; Magnoliopsida; Malpighiales; Euphorbiaceae.